This 250-nucleotide ribosomal RNA is filed under the name uncultured bacterium. RNAcentral describes it as "partial 16S ribosomal RNA". It matches the Rfam family "Bacterial small subunit ribosomal RNA", at positions 505 to 754 of the family's 1533-position model. The record is from RNAcentral.
GUGCCAGCAGCCGCGGUAAUACGUAUGGGGCAAGCGUUAUCCGGAUUCAUUGGGCGUAAAGCGCGCGUAGGCGGCUUGUUAAGCGAGGAGUGAAAUCUGGGGGCUCAACCCGCAGCUUGCUUCUCGAACUGGCAGGCUUGAGUCUGGUAGAGGAAAGUGGAAUUCCUGGUGUAGCGGUGAAAUGCGCAGAUAUCAGGAGGAACACCAGUGGCGAAGGCGGCUUUCUGGGCCACGACUGACGCUGAGGCGC